AUUACUUAUCAGAAUAAAAACACUUUAAGAGUAAAUCAAUUCUUAAAGUAAUCUGUCUUAUCAGAAUGAAUACUUUAAGGGUUUAGCCUUAAUUAUCAUUGUGAAUCACAGUACUUCAAAAUAGGGAAGUUUUAGAAGGGGAGAAAAUCCAUGGCUGGAAAAUUUAUGAGGGUGAUCAUGAUGGGGUUGAUUUUUCUUAUUCUCAUUGAAGUGCAAGCUGAUCAUGACGAGUCUUUCCAUCAUUCCUCUAAAGCAUUGGAUGCUAUUCCGGGAGCAUGUUUUUCUUGCAUUACCAGAAGAAUUGAAAGUUGUGAUAUUUAUUUGAGAAGAUGGUGGCUGCGAAUAUUUCGAAACCUUGAUUAUGAAAUGUGCAUACUUGAGAAUUUUGUAACCUGCAUGAGCAAUUUUCUUAUUUUUGAUGACCCAGCAUGUCAUGCCGCUGCAUGGUGCUUACAUACCUGCCAGCAAACAACAAAUACAAAGAGACGCAAGCAUAUAACUUGUUUAUUGGAUUGCUAUAGAAAGCAUAUCAAGCAGCAUUGAGAUAUCGUUUAUACGCGGAAUCCAUGAGUUCUAGCUCUAGAUGAGAUGAUGGAACUUAUGAGGAAGUUGAUGACUGUGGAGGACCUAGCUAGGUUAGUAUUUGAGGAGUUAGACCUUAACUUGUGGCAUUACAUGUGGUUUGAGUUUAAGGGACAUCUUAAUGAGUUCAUAAAGGUUUUGUUUUUAGUUUACUAUUUCCAUUGUCGUAUGAACAUGUUGGAUUGGUUAUCUGCAAGCCUCAAUGAAUCAGACUAUUAAACUUGAUAUGUUUGUAAGUUUUGGAGACAUUUAUUUCUGUUGUAUUGUUUUGAGAUAUUCUCUCGAGAUUUAGUUUUGGAUUUAGAUGCCUGAUGGUUUA
Molecule: long non-coding RNA, 901 nt
Organism: Alnus glutinosa
Lineage: Eukaryota; Viridiplantae; Streptophyta; Magnoliopsida; Fagales; Betulaceae
Exons: 2
Source: RefSeq, a predicted model, not a curated record